RNAcentral lists this ribosomal RNA (388 nucleotides) under uncultured archaeon. RNAcentral's name for it is "bacterial SSU rRNA". It matches the Rfam family "Archaeal small subunit ribosomal RNA", at positions 85 to 480 of the family's 1478-position model. The record is from RNAcentral.
ACUGCUCAGUAACACGUGGACAAUCUGCCCUGGAGAGGAGGAUAUCCCCGGGAAAUGGGAUUAAUACUCCAUAGUUUGUCUUAACUGGAAUGUUAUUCGAACGAAAGAUCCGUCGCUCCAGGAUGAGUCUGCGGCCGAUUAGGUAGUUGUUGGGGUAACGGCCCAACAAGCCUUUCAUCGGUACGGGUUGUGGGAGCAAGAGCCCGGAGAUGGAUUCUGAGACACGAAUCCAGGCCCUACGGGGCGCAGCAGGCGCGAAAACUUUACCAUGCGGGCAACCGUGAUAAGGAAACCCCGAGUGCCAGCACAGGCUGGCUGUCCGCCUGUUUAAAUAACUGGUGAAGAAAGGGCCGGGCAAGACCGGUGCCAGCAGCCGCGGUAAUACGAU